This 476-nucleotide ribosomal RNA is filed under the name uncultured bacterium. RNAcentral's name for it is "bacterial SSU rRNA". It matches the Rfam family "Bacterial small subunit ribosomal RNA", at positions 28 to 474 of the family's 1533-position model. The record is from RNAcentral.
GACGAACGCNGGCGGCGUGCUUAACACAUGCAAGUCGAACGAAGAGCGAUGGAAGCUUGCUUCUAUCAAUCUUAGUGGCGAACGGGUGAGUAACGCGUAAUCAACCUGCCCUUCAGAGGGGGACAACAGUUGGAAACGACUGCUAAUACCGCAUACGAUCUGACCUCGGCAUCGAGGAUAGAUGAAAGGUGGCCUCUACAUGUAAGCUAUCACUGAAGGAGGGGAUUGCGUCUGAUUAGCUAGUUGGAGGGGUAACGGCCCACCAAGGCGAUGAUCAGUAGCCGGUCUGAGAGGAUGAACGGCCACAUUGGGACUGAGACACGGCCCAGACUCCUACGGGAGGCAGCAGUGGGGAAUCUUCCGCAAUGGACGAAAGUCUGACGGAGCAACGCCGCGUGAGUGAUGACGGCCUUCGGGUUGUAAAGCUCUGUUAAUCGGGACGAAAGGCCUUUUUGCGAAUAGNGAGAAGGAUGACG